This 460-nucleotide ribosomal RNA is filed under the name uncultured bacterium. RNAcentral's name for it is "partial 16S ribosomal RNA". It matches the Rfam family "Bacterial small subunit ribosomal RNA", at positions 338 to 795 of the family's 1533-position model. The record is from RNAcentral.
CCUACGGGAGGCAGCAGUGAGGAAUAUUGGUCAAUGGACGCAAGUCUGAACCAGCCAUGCCGCGUGCAGGAAGACGGCCCUAUGAGUUGUAAACUGCUUUUGGACGAGGGUAAAUCCCGACUCGUGUAUCUGGUUGAAAGUAUCGUACGAAUAAGGAGCGGCUAACUCUGUGCCAGCAGCCGCGGUAAUACGGAGGAUUCAAGCGUUAUCCGGAUUUAUUGGGUUUAAAGGGUGCGUAGGCGGUUCGAUAAGUUAGAGGUGAAAGCCCGGGGCUCAACCCCGGCACUGCCUCUGAUACUGUCGGGCUAGAGUGUAGUUGCGGUAGGCGGAAUGUAUGGUGUAGCGGUGAAAUGCAUAGAGAUCAUACAGAACACCGAUUGCGAAGGCAGCUUACCAGACUACGACUGACGUUGAGGCACGAAAGCGUGGGGAGCAAACAGGAUUAGAUACCCGAGUAGUC